Molecule: ribosomal RNA, 304 nt
Filed under: uncultured bacterium
Lineage: Bacteria
Description: bacterial SSU rRNA
Rfam family: Bacterial small subunit ribosomal RNA
Source: RNAcentral
AACGAACGCUGGCGGCAUGCCUAACACAUGCAAGUCGAACGAGACCUUCGGGUCUAGUGGCGCACGGGUGCGUAACGCGUGGGAAUCUGCCCUGGGGUGCGGAAUAACUCGGAGAAAUCCGUGCUAAUACCGCAUAAUGUCUUCGGACCAAAGAUUUAUCGCCCUGGGAUGAGCCCGCGUAGGAUUAGCUAGUUGGUGGGUAAAGGCCUACCAAGGCGACGAUCCUUAGCUGGUCUGAGAGGAUGAUCAGCCACACUGGGACUGAGACACGGCCCAGACUCCUACGGGAGGCAGCAGUGGGGAA